GAUGAAGAACGUAGUGAAAUGCGAUAAGUAGUGUGAAUUGCAGAAUUCAGUGAAUCAUCGAAUCUUUGAACGCACAUUGCGCCCCUUGGUAUUCCAUGGGGCACGCCUGUUCGAGCGUCAUUUGUACCUUCAAGCUUUGCUUGGUGUUGGGUGUUUGUCUCGCCUUUGCGUGUAGACUCGCCUUAAAAUAAUUGGCAGCCGGCGUAUUGAUUUCGGAGCGCAGUACAUCUCGCGCUUUGCACUCAUAACGACAGCGUCCAAAAGUACAUUUUACACUCUUGACCUCGGAUCAGGUAGGGAUACCCGCUGAACUUAAGCAUAUCAAUAAGCGGAGGA
RNAcentral lists this unclassified non-coding RNA (336 nucleotides) under soil metagenome. Its description in RNAcentral is "partial contains 5.8S ribosomal RNA, internal transcribed spacer 2, and large subunit ribosomal RNA". The stretch from base 1 to 120 matches the Rfam family "5.8S ribosomal RNA", at positions 35 to 154 of the family's 154-position model. The record is from RNAcentral.